This 1229-nucleotide ribosomal RNA is filed under the name uncultured bacterium. RNAcentral describes it as "bacterial SSU rRNA". It matches the Rfam family "Bacterial small subunit ribosomal RNA", at positions 94 to 1337 of the family's 1533-position model. The record is from RNAcentral.
AGUGGCGAACGGGUGAGUAACACGUGGGUGAUCUGCCCUGCACUUUGGGAUAAGCCUGGGAAACUGGGUCUAAUACCGAAUAGGAUCAUGCUCUUCAUGGGGUGUGGUGGAAAGCUUUUGCGGUGUGGGAUGGGCCCGCGGCCUAUCAGCUUGUUGGUGGGGUAAUGGCCUACCAAGGCGACGACGGGUAGCCGGCCUGAGAGGGUGACCGGCCACACUGGGACUGAGAUACGGCCCAGACUCCUACGGGAGGCAGCAGUGGGGAAUAUUGCACAAUGGGCGCAAGCCUGAUGCAGCGACGCCGCGUGAGGGAUGACGGCCUUCGGGUUGUAAACCUCUUUCACCAGGGACGAAGCGCAAGUGACGGUACCUGGAGAAGAAGCACCGGCCAACUACGUGCCAGCAGCCGCGGUAAUACGUAGGGUGCGAGCGUUGUCCGGAAUUACUGGGCGUAAAGAGCUCGUAGGUGGUUUGUCGCGUUGUUCGUGAAAACUCACAACUCAAUUGUGGGCGUGCGGGCGAUACGGGCAGACUAGAGUACUGCAGGGGAGACUGGAAUUCCUGGUGUAGCGGUGGAAUGCGCAGAUAUCAGGAGGAACACCCGUGGGCGAGGCGGGUCUCUGGGCAGUAACUGACGCUGAGGAGCGAAAGCGUGGGGAGCGAACAGGAUUAGAUACCCUGGUAGUCCACGCCGUAAACGGUGGGUACUAGGUGUGGGUUCCUUCCUUGGGAUCCGUGCCGUAGCUAACGCAUUAAGUACCCCGCCUGGGGAGUACGGCCGCAAGGCUAAAACUCAAAGGAAUUGACGGGGGCCCGCACAAGCGGCGGAGCAUGUGGAUUAAUUCGAUGCAACGCGAAGAACCUUACCUGGGUUUGACAUGCACAGGACGCCGGCAGAGAUGUCGGUUCCCUUGUGGCCUGUGUGCAGGUGGUGCAUGGCUGUCGUCAGCUCGUGUCGUGAGAUGUUGGGUUAAGUCCCGCAACGAGCGCAACCCUUGUCCUAUGUUGCCAGCGGGUUAUGCCGGGGACUCGUAGGAGACUGCCGGGGUCAACUCGGAGGAAGGUGGGGAUGACGUCAAGUCAUCAUGCCCCUUAUGUCCAGGGCUUCACACAUGCUACAAUGGCCGGUACAAAGGGCUGCGAUGCCGUGAGGUGGAGCGAAUCCUUUCAAAGCCGGUCUCAGUUCGGAUCGGGGUCUGCAACUCGACCCCGUGAAGUCGGAGUCGCUA